GCCAAUAUAUAUAUAUAUAUACAUAUAUGGAGAGAGAAAGAUGAGCUAGAAUACUCUCAAAAGUACUAAAGAAGUGGUGCUUUUGAAUUUUUAACCAUUGGAUGAAGAGAUAUAGGAUUGAGAUGAUGACGAUAGGUAGUGACAGGUGGUGGUAGGUGGAAUAAUGUUUGAUCCAAAGACUACUAGUAAUUAAAGAGUAGAUCCAAGGGCUAAAAAUUUAGAAGCACCAAAGACUUGGUGCUUCUAAAAGUAUUGUAGCUCAAUUUUAUAUAUAUAUAUAU
This 281-nucleotide long non-coding RNA is filed under the name Ananas comosus (pineapple). RNAcentral describes it as "long non-coding RNA (ACOM_LNC040379)". The record is from RNAcentral. Lineage: Eukaryota; Viridiplantae; Streptophyta; Magnoliopsida; Poales; Bromeliaceae.